This 620-nucleotide ribosomal RNA is filed under the name uncultured bacterium. Its description in RNAcentral is "bacterial SSU rRNA". The stretch from base 1 to 542 matches the Rfam family "Bacterial small subunit ribosomal RNA", at positions 338 to 873 of the family's 1533-position model. The record is from RNAcentral.
CCUACGGGAGGCAGCAGUGGGGAAUUUUGGACAAUGGGCGCAAGCCUGAUCCAGCCAUGCCGCGUGCGGGAAGAAGGCCUUCGGGUUGUAAACCGCUUUUGUCAGGGAAGAAAAGGUUCUGGCUAAUACCUGGGACUCAUGACGGUACCUGAAGAAUAAGCACCGGCUAACUACGUGCCAGCAGCCGCGGUAAUACGUAGGGUGCAAGCGUUAAUCGGAAUUACUGGGCGUAAAGCGUGCGCAGGCGGUUAUGCAAGACAGAGGUGAAAUCCCCGGGCUCAACCUGGGAACUGCCUUUGUGACUGCAUAGCUAGAGUACGGUAGAGGGGGAUGGAAUUCCGCGUGUAGCAGUGAAAUGCGUAGAUAUGCGGAGGAACACCGAUGGCGAAGGCAAUCCCCUGGACCUGUACUGACGCUCAUGCACGAAAGCGUGGGGAGCAAACAGGAUUAGAUACCCUGGUAGUCCACGCCCUAAACGAUGUCAACUGGUUGUUGGGAGGGUUUCUUCUCAGUAACGUAGCUAACGCGUGAAGUUGACCGCCUGGGGAGGACGGCGCGAGUAGUUAAGUUACGUAGAGUUAGUAGGCGNGNGAGNGCGACGGACGACGACGAGGAGGAGG